GCAGACUACUAAUAUCAUUCUAAAAUUAAAAUAUUAUUUAUCAUUUAAUCCCAGGUUGAGACAGCAUGUAUGUAAAUAGCUUAGCAAAACCUCAGUUUCUUAAUACCUCACAAAUUCACGAUAGCCUACUGCGUGUUCUUUUCGGGUCAUUAUUUUUGGGGGCAGCUUAGUUUGACAACGGCUUCUUAUUCACUUGAUUAUCUAGUUAUAAAUCCGAAGUACAAAUGGGACAAAUACAGUUUUUAUUCAUCUAUUCUUGGUUUGGAGGUUAAAAUGCAAAAACAAAACCACAUAUAUGAGCUGUGUCUUAUAGAAAUUGACCUUGUGCAAAUGAAUAUCAAAUGAAUAUCUGUAAACAUUUUUCUGGU
Molecule: long non-coding RNA, 368 nt
Filed under: Mytilus galloprovincialis (Mediterranean mussel)
Lineage: Eukaryota; Metazoa; Mollusca; Bivalvia; Mytilida; Mytilidae
Source: RNAcentral